Lonchura striata (white-rumped munia) is the source of this 680-nucleotide non-coding RNA. The record is from RefSeq and is a predicted model, not a curated record. Lineage: Eukaryota; Metazoa; Chordata; Aves; Passeriformes; Estrildidae.
CUGAUGGACAUAAGGUGGGAAAAGCUGCUGGAGCAUCCUCGUACAGUGACUUUUGAGGAGCAGCAUCACAGAGAAAUGCCAUGGCAUGGUGGGGAAUGGCACUGAGAGCUGCUGGCCAUCAGGAAGGAGUCUAAGGAAAGGGAAUAUUUUCAUUAUAAACCUCGUUAUGACAAGUGUGUUGGGGUCUUGCAAGGCUGCAUUGCUAAAUGAGGAAAUUAAAGCACAGGGAGGUCAGAAGCUAACAUUUUCCAACUUGGGCAACUGAAGUGUUUCCAAGGGCCACCCCCACUGAGGUUGCAUGAAAGGGCCCUAAGGCAUUUCAGCUGCUGCUGGGUAACACAGAACACUGCAGGGACUUCAGCGUGGGAGCUGCUGAGCACUGAGGAGGGAACAGAUGCCUGGCUGGAGCCAAAGGUGACCUGUCAUUGCUUUCAAGCAGGAUCCAUCUUCUGGCCGAGUGGCCGGGCUGGGGUGGCCAGCAGAGCAGCACGUGCUCCUCCUGGCUCAGCAGCAAGUAAGACAAUCCUGGGACACUGCAGAAGAUAUAAGGACAAGAUCAGUGAAAGACCCACUGUGGGUCUGAAAAGCAGCUGUGCCUACGGCUCUCCAGUGGUGGGAUAUCUGAACUGCCUCAAGCUGAGCAGGGAAUUGAACCAAGGACUCCCACAAUUUGUUUUCCC